Equus caballus (horse) is the source of this 3190-nucleotide non-coding RNA. The record is from RefSeq and is a predicted model, not a curated record. NCBI's taxonomy places the organism in Eukaryota, Metazoa, Chordata, Mammalia, Perissodactyla, Equidae.
UAGAUAAAGAGUCUUUUAUUCAGAUUUAGAAUUCUGUAUUGUUUUCACUUUUAGAAUGUUGUAGUCAAUACAGUGUUUUAUUAGAUGAAAGUGUUACAUUCAGGUUAGAAUACUGUAUUUAAUUCAGUAUUAGAUAUUGUACCUGAUUGAUACCAUAUUGUAUUAGAUAAAAGUAUAGUAUUCCAAUUUAGAAUACCGUAUUCUAUUCAGGUUUAGAAUAUGGUACUCAGAUUUAAAUUAAAGUAUUGAUUCAGAUUUUCUGAAGUUGAUAACUACUCAGGUUAUGUAACAAGAUGUCCUUAUUCUUAGGAAAUACACACAGUAUUAAGAUAUAAAGAGGCAGAUACAGCGACUAUGGAAAACAGCAUGGAAGUUCCUCAAAAAGUUAAAAAUAGAACUACCAUCUGAUCCAGCAACCCCACUUCUGGGCAUCCAUCUGCAGGAGGUGAAAUCACUGUCUUGAGGAGACAUCUGCACCCCACGUUCACUGCAGCAUUAUUCACAACAGCCAAGACAGGGAGACGACCUAAGCGUCCACAGCAGAUGAAUGGAUGAAGAAAAGGUGACGUACACACGUGCGUGCACGUGUACACACACAUACACAGGAAUAUUAUUCACUCAUAAAAGGAGGAGAAAAUCCUGCCAUUUGCAACCACCUGGAUGGACCUUGAGCGCAUUAUGCUGAGUUAAAUAAGCCAGACAGAGAAAAACAAAUGCUGUAUGAUCUCACUUACCUGUGGAAUCUGAAAACAUCACACUCACAGAAACGGAGAGCAGAUGGUGGUUGCCAGGGGCUGAGGGGUGGGGGAGAUGGGGAGAUGUUGGUCAAAGGGGACAAACUUUUAGCUAUAAGAGGAGUAAGUUAUUGGGAUCCAAGGUACAGCACGGUGACUCCAGUUACCAAUACCGUGCUGUAACACUUGAAAGUUGCUAUGAGAACAGAGCUUUAAUAUUCUCACCACAACAACAACAACAAAAUGGUAAUUCCGUGAGGUGAAGGAUGUGUUAACUAACCUUAUUGUGGUAACAUUUCAAGACAUAUACGUUUAUCAAAUCACCACUUUGUACACCUUAAACGUACACAGUGGUUUAUGUCUCAAUAAGGCUGGGAAAAAAAGAUAAAGGAGCAGAUUAUGUAAGCAACUUCCUUGCAAAUGGUUCAGAAAAAUAUAGAAAUAUAUAAAAUAUAUUUAUAAAAUUAUAAAAUAUAUAGAAAUGUAUAAUGUGUAGAUAGACAUAAAGAAACGAGGUGCUCUGGCUUGAUGAACCUAGCUGAAAAAAUUGCAAACAAAAUAAAAUGAUUGUUUCAAGCCACAAAUUUGGGAUAACCAAAGCAUCUUCUAAACUCAAAUAUCUACAAGCUUUAUAGUUUUGCCUUUCACAUUUAUGUCUGAUCCACCCAGAAGUGUUUUCCUGUAAAGUGUGAAGUCAAGGUUCAAUGUCAAUUUCCCCCAUAUACACAGGUAAUUGUCCCAAUAACAUCAAAAAGUCAACCCUUUCCUUGGUGGCCAACCUCUGUACCCACACGUGUGUGGGAUUCCUGCUCUUUAUUCUGAUGCACUGAUCUGUCUGCCUCCUCCAAGCCAAAACUAUACAGAUGUAAUCAUCACAGCUUUAUCAAAGUAUCGAUAUGUGGUACAGCAGGCCCUCCACCUUGAUCUUCGAGGGUGUUUUAGCUUUCCUGACUCUGAGUCUUAUAAAUGUGAGAAUCAGCUUAGCAAGUUGGCUUAAUUUCUCUGCAGCCCAGUUUCUCAUCUGCUGGAAGAAUUGAAAAAGACAAUAAAUAUGGACACAAUUUGUAGAGUCCCGGGAACAACAGAGUUUUAGUUUAUUGUAUUUAUAUUGCUAAACCUAAGCAAACAAUGUUGAUCUCCAUAGCCUGUUUUUCUGUCAGUUCUGAAACAUCUCCUGAAUUCGCAAGUGUUUUCCAGGACUGACGGCCGGCUCCUGUUACUGACAGCUGGAUGUGCGACCCUGGUUCAUAUUAGGACUCCUCCCAAAUUGGCCUUGCUAAAACUGUAAUUUUUUUUAAUCUCCUUUUGAACUUUUACAGCCACAUUUCAGCUGGCCAACAGUUUUGAAAGCUGGAAAUAAUUCAGUCCUGCUGUCAGUCUGUGGUCAGAUUCCAGUUUGACCUGUUGCAUGAUUUGAGCAAGGAUUUAAUAGGACCACGUGGAAAACGCCUGGUCCUUUCCUCUUUAUCAAAUUGGCCCUUGUGAGAACCAGACCGGAGACGCAGGCAAAGCAUGGACUCUUCAUCAUAAAAAGUUUUCACACCGUACCUUCAAAAGAGUUUUUAUCCUCUGUGAACCUAACCCUAAGUUGAGAGAGAGGCAUCACUGCUUCAUUAAUACGAAUAAUAGCUGUUUUACUUUUACAUACUAAUUUUACAAAACUUAGAAAAUAUUUUUAAAAAGUAUUCAUUUAUCCAUGAUCCAAAGCUAAAUGCUACGAACAUUUUAAAGGAUUGUCAUCUGCUUUCUUGUCUUUACGCACAGGUUUCUUUUUUUCUCUUUUAAUGUAACACGCGCUAGUCUGCAUCCUGCCCGUGGCCGGCCUCUUGCUUGGCUCGUCAGCAAUCGCUCGCCUUCUUCCCUUAAAGGAGCCCAAUUAGAUUUAGAUUUAGGGCAACUCUUGGAGGAGGCGGGACCACAGCACGACGCCAGAAGUGAAUUUUGAUUGGUCUAAGCCAAACAAAGAACGCUGGCCCCUUGCCUGGUGAUUGGUUUAGGCCUGAGCGUGACAAGCAGUGCUGAUCAAUGAGGAGGGAGAGGCGGUCUGCGGGGGCGUCCUGCGCCCUUGCAAGGACGAGCUUGAGGCGGAAAGGCUGAAAAUGGCAGACGGGAAGGACGGAAGCUUCCCGGGUUCCCGGUGAUGAGCCUGCGCCGCUGACAGACCCCGUGUUCACAUUCAAGUCAUACGAGACAGUGAACGGUUCUCCUGCAUGGGCACAGCUUGUUGAGCUCCUGGGACGGAGCGCCCCCGGCUGACACACCUGCCCCGCUUAGGGGGGUGUCUGCUGUGUUCCUGGAGCUCUUCUUAAACGUUGUUUACAGAGAGCGUUCCAGCCAGUUGUUAUUCCAAGAUUCACUUGGUGGAUCCCAGAUUGUUUAAUAAUGAUGAUAGGGUUUUUCACUCAACAAUAUUUCAGGAACAUCAUUCCACAUAAAUAAAUAUGCUUUGUUGUUAU